UCCUCGAUGGUCUAACGGUCAUGAUUUCCGCUUGUCACUCUCCAAUGAGAACAAGCGCGGGAGACCAGGGUUCGACUCCCUGUCGGGGAG
This is a transfer RNA of 90 nucleotides. It matches the Rfam family "tRNA". From Rfam's summary of the family: Transfer RNA (tRNA) molecules are approximately 80 nucleotides in length. The record is from Rfam.